This is a long non-coding RNA of Loxodonta africana (African savanna elephant), 2988 nucleotides long. RefSeq lists it as uncharacterized. NCBI's taxonomy places the organism in Eukaryota, Metazoa, Chordata, Mammalia, Proboscidea, Elephantidae. The record is from RefSeq and is a predicted model, not a curated record. The transcript is spliced from 5 exons.
UGGCGCAAUCGCACUGCCCUCAGCUCGCCGCGGCGGUCCCCGCCGUCGCCGCGGUUGUCUUAGCGCAGGUGCGUCGCCCUUUCCCUCCGCUUUUACUGCGCCGAAUCGCCGCAGCGGCGCAGGCGCCACGGAGGGUUUGGGGGAUUUGCGGCGCCGAGGAAGCUCCCAUUACGCAGGGCGUACGUAGGCAGGCUUGGCCUUCGCCCAGCCCUGGCCGGCACUCCGGCUCUUCGCCGUUCCGCAGACGCAGUGGUAAUGCCUGGGACAUGCUGGCGCCCAUUAUAUAAAGUCAGUACUUAGAGGAACCCAACGAUCACUGUACUGAGACCAGAGAGAUGUCCCUAUGGAAGUUCAAAAAGAAAGCACCACGGAACACAGUGAAGAGCAGCCUCGUAACUUCUUGUAGUAAAGAUAGUAAAGACUUUCAUAGAGGUAUUUUUCUUAUAAUAUCUCUCAGUAUUGGCCAACAUGAUGUGGAGGUGAACAUCCCAAGUCACAGACAGGGCAAGAGAUGUGGAGAAGUGUUUCUCGGAGUCCUGGAGGAGGCUGUGUUAAGAAGGAAUGUUUAAGCUCCUGCUAUAACUUCAGUCAUCCUCAACUCUGGUGCUUUACUGCCAUGGGCAUGGAUCUCACAUUAACCAGUGAGUUAACAGGUGGAUACCAAGAACUUUCUGUUGCUCAGGAUUCUUUAGGCUCUGUGAGAGUGCAGAAAAGAAGAAGACAGGAUAUUGGCUUUCAAGAAAUUUACAAAGUAGUUUUGGAAGCAGUAUGUCCAGGCGUGGAUUACCCAACAAGCAAGGUAAGCAUGUGGUUAGGGCAUCAACAAAACAGAGACACCAGUUGUCCAAAGCAAAGACCCAUAGAUGCCAAGCAGACAGGACACAAGGAAAAGUGAGUGCUGCAGUGGAAAGGAACUGGCAAGGCAGUAAAUGAAAUCGACACCAGCUCCAGUGCAUCGGAAUGUGUCGGCUGGAAAUAAAAUUCACACAGGGUCAUGAGGGUGCCCAAGCGCAAGUUGUUUAAGCUAUGAGGCCCCUACCACUUCAACACCUUCAUUGACAUCUGUCUUCUACAGUCACCUCUCAUGUAAUUGAAAUUCCUUAUCUCAGCAGGUCUCUUGGGAGUAUACCAUUUUUUUCUAAUAAACGGGAGGUGGGGGUGGCCUGUCAAGUCUAACUCUUGCUACAUUUACCCAGUAUGCAACUGGAUCCAACAUGAGUGUACUGGGCAAGGACAGGACAGAUUAUAUUAAUACAAAACAGGCCUCUGAUCCAUUUUGAGAGCCGUCUUAUACAUCCACAUCUGCUGGUGCAGCCAGGAGAGCCAGAUAUAUAUAUAUAUAUACAUAAAACUCACACCUUCGAUUCGAAUGCGUGAGUAAGCAGAGGCGAGGGGCACCACAGAUUAUCAGUGUUUAGGGCCCUCACAUGCCUUUAUCUGGGCCUGAGUAUGUCCUAGGCAUUAAAAUGCAGAAUUCAAGUCAUCCAGCUCUGAUCUGAAUCCCAAGACUACGGUUUCUUAGCUGUGUACUUUGAUCUCAGUUUUUUCAUCUGUAAAAUGGAAAUGAUAAAAAUAGCUAUCUCAUAGGGUUGCUAUGAGGAUUGUGGUACAAGAUAAAUCACUUAGCAAUGCCUGGCACAUAGUAAGUGCUCAAUAGAUGUUAUCUAUUAUGAUGAUGUUGAUGAUGAUGACUCCCAGGAAAGUCUGGACUGUGUAGGAACCUAAUAGCGCUUCCCUCAAAUCCUUCCUAGUCUUCUCAGACCUUGGGGAGGAAGGACCACUUUAUGGGUCUGGAGUGGACGGGUAGAAGAAGGUGGGCUUUGAGGACACCUUGAGGAGACACUGGUGACUUCCUGGAGAAGGCAGUCUGCCUGUCUUGGCUCAGUUCUGCACUGGGACUGUGUUGGGCUUGGAAACAAGACAACUAGGACUUCCUCUGCCUUUGAGGAAUUUGCUAGCUAGUUGGAAAUUCAAGAUAUAGUCACAAGAUGCAGCUUUAACAUAAUAAUGAAGCAGCAUAUUCAUUAACAAGAACAAAAUGGUAUGGUAAAAACUCAGCGUAAUUAUGAUAAAUGUUUAGGGAAAGAAAUGCUUGAAUAUAAGUCCAAUUAAUUCUGGACUUCCGGAUAAAAUUUCCUGUAUGUGUUACUAUGUGGCAAUCACAGCAGAGAGGUCUUCUUCUUACCCCUAGAACCCUGCCUCUCUGUCUCCCAUGUCUGGCUUCUCUCCUGACCAGUGAAAUAGAGUUCUGAAUCCUGCCAUAGCCUUCGGUGAUUUUGGAUGAAAGGCCAGAGUGAUUUUCUAGGGGAUCCACGUACUUGUUUUCAUACUUUAAAGUAGGGAAUGGUAGAAUAAUGGAUGAUGGAAGCUUUACUUUUAAAAGAACACGGUUGACAUUUGGUAACGGUUAACUCAGGCUUUUGCUGAGAACAGUGUUUAUUUUGCAGGCUUAAUGACAGGCCCGGCUUUCUGGGAGUGCUGGAAUAAAAGAGAUUCAGACAGAGGUUGUCAUGGCCUUCCUCCCCAGCAGGGCUGCUGCAGCCAGCAUUGCACGGGCAGUUCUACUGAGCUUGGGAUUUGGGUGUGAGAUGAGACACAGCUUUUUUUUUUUAAUUAACUUUUAUUGAGCUUCAAGUGAACGUUUACAAAUCAAGUCAGUCUGUCACAUAAGUUAAUAUACAUCUUACUCCUUACUCCCACUUGCUCUCCCCCUAAUGAGUCAGCCCUUCCAGUCUCUCCUUUCGUGAAAACUUUGGCAGCCUCCAACUCUCUCUAUCCUCCCAUGCCCCCUGAGACACAGCUUUUGUUGGACAUUUUUAACCGUCUAUGUGGUUUUGCCCUUUGAAUAAAUGCGUGCGUUCAGCAGUAGCCUUGAUCUCUUUGCCUCAUUCUCUUAUUUGAUUAUGAGAAGAAAAGCAAAAACAAAAUGAAAAACAUGGUUGUGGUACUAUUUAGUUAAAAACAUCACUUUAGUAUUAAAGGUGCCAU